RNAcentral lists this ribosomal RNA (465 nucleotides) under uncultured bacterium. RNAcentral describes it as "partial 16S ribosomal RNA". It matches the Rfam family "Bacterial small subunit ribosomal RNA", at positions 28 to 507 of the family's 1533-position model. The record is from RNAcentral.
GACGAACGCUGGCGGCGUGCUUAACACAUGCAAGUCGAACGGAAAGGCCCUGCUUGCAGGGUACUCGAGUGGCGAACGGGUGAGUAACACGUGGGUGAUCUGCCUGCACUUCGGGAUAAGCUUGGGAAACUGGGUCUAAUACCGGAUAGGAACCACCUUUAGUGUGGUGGUUGGAAAGUUUUUUCGGUGUAGGAUGAGCUCGCGGCCUAUCAGCUUGUUGGUGGGGUAAUGGCCUACCAAGGCGGCGACGGGUAGCCGGCCUGAGAGGGUGUACGGCCACAUUGGGACUGAGAUACGGCCCAGACUCCUACGGGAGGCAGCAGUGGGGAAUAUUGCACAAUGGGCGCAAGCCUGAUGCAGCGACGCCGCGUGGGGGAUGAAGGCCUUCGGGUUGUAAACUCCUUUCGCUAGGGACGAAGCUUUGUUGUGACGGUACCUAGAUAAGAAGCACCGGCUAACUACGUG